RNAcentral lists this Y RNA (102 nucleotides) under Carlito syrichta (Philippine tarsier). RNAcentral describes it as "Y RNA (ENSTSYG00000027204.1)". It matches the Rfam family "Y RNA". From Rfam's summary of the family: Y RNAs are components of the Ro ribonucleoprotein particle (Ro RNP), in association with Ro60 and La proteins. The Y RNAs and Ro60 and La proteins are well conserved, but the function of the Ro RNP is not known. The record is from Rfam by way of RNAcentral. Lineage: Eukaryota; Metazoa; Chordata; Mammalia; Primates; Tarsiidae.
GGCUGGUUUGAGUGCAGCAGUGCUUACAACUAAUUGAUCACAACCAGUUACAGACUUUUUUGCUCUUUCUCCACUCCCACUGCUUCAUUUGACUAGCUUCAA